This 250-nucleotide unclassified non-coding RNA is filed under the name Hevea brasiliensis (rubber tree). Lineage: Eukaryota; Viridiplantae; Streptophyta; Magnoliopsida; Malpighiales; Euphorbiaceae. The record is from RNAcentral.
AUUGCAUACAGAGUCUUUGCCUACAUUCUUUUUGCAGCAAUGGCUCGCCUAACUAAGCCCCACAAGAUAGCAGCUCGUAGCUUGCACCACCCUGCUUUGGAUUUUGCAAGGACACCAAAACAUGGGUGAGAAGAGAAUAAUCCUAGUUCUCCUUCAUUACCUGAACUGAAAAUCAAAGUAUUAGGAGUUGACCAGCUUGAUGUUUGACCCUGCAGGUGAUUGUCCUCAGGAGUUGGUUGACUACUUGUCA